This 468-nucleotide ribosomal RNA is filed under the name uncultured bacterium. RNAcentral describes it as "partial 16S ribosomal RNA". It matches the Rfam family "Bacterial small subunit ribosomal RNA", at positions 28 to 507 of the family's 1533-position model. The record is from RNAcentral.
GACGAACGCUGGCGGCGUGCUUAACACAUGCAAGUCGAACGGAAAGGCCCUGCUUUUGUGGGGUGCUCGAGUGGCGAAAGGGUGAGUAACACGUGAGUAACCUGCCCUUGACUUUGGGAUAACUUCAGGAAACUGGGGCUAAUACCGGAUAGGAGCUCCUGCUGCAUGGUGGGGGUUGGAAAGUUUCGGCGGUUGGGGAUGGACUCGCGGCUUAUCAGCUUGUUGGUGGGGUAGUGGCUUACCAAGGCUUUGACGGGUAGCCGGCCUGAGAGGGUGACCGGCCACAUUGGGACUGAGAUACGGCCAAGACUCCUACGGGAGGCAGCAGUGGGGAAUAUUGCACAAUGGGCGGAAGCCUGAUGCAGCAACGCCGCGUGCGGGAUGACGGCCUUCGGGGUGUAAACCGCUUUCGCCUGUGACGAAGCGUGAGUGACGGUAAUGGGUAAAGAAGCACCGGCUAACUACGUG